Non-coding RNA from Xiphophorus hellerii (green swordtail), 495 nucleotides. The record is from the annotation of a RefSeq genome assembly. Lineage: Eukaryota; Metazoa; Chordata; Actinopteri; Cyprinodontiformes; Poeciliidae.
AGAGUUUAUAGUCCUGACAGUUGAACACUGGAUGGCUGACAGCUGUCCUUCAUCACAACAGAAGACACAGAAAUCCUCCUCAUCAAAAACAUGACUUUGAUCUGCGUCCUCAUCUGGACUCUCCUCUGCUGCUGCUUCACAGAAGUCAGAGGUCAGUACACAGUGACUCAGCCUUCAGCAGUGAGAGCUGAUCUUGGAGGAUCUGUCACUAUCAACUGUAGAACCAGUCAGAAUGUUUAUGUUUAUAGCGGCUCCCACUAUUUAGCCUGGUACCAACAGAAAGAUGGACAAACUCCUAAGCUUCUCAUUAAUCGUGCUAGCAUUCGAGAAUCAGGGACUCCAAGUCGUUUUACAGGCAGUGGAUCAAACUCUGACUUCACUCUGACCAUCAGUGGAGUUCAGGCUGAAGAUGCUGCAGUUUAUUACUGUCAGAGUUUUCAUUACCCCAACAGCCAGCAUGUGUUCACACAGUGAAAAACAGUCGUACAAAAACCU